This is a long non-coding RNA of Prionailurus viverrinus (fishing cat), 2952 nucleotides long. RefSeq lists it as uncharacterized. The record is from RefSeq and is a predicted model, not a curated record. The transcript has 4 exons. Lineage: Eukaryota; Metazoa; Chordata; Mammalia; Carnivora; Felidae.
CAAGAGGCCACGCGGCUGACUUGCUGAGGAGCCAGUUUAUGGGCAGGUCACCUGACCAGAUGGGAGGUUACAGACCAGCCUAAAGAGCUGGGAGAAGAACCACGUGAUCACGUCCACACACGCCAACAAGGCAUUUGACAAAAUUCAGCUCCCGGUUGAUGCUGGCUAUAAACCACAAAUCACAGGGUACGGAUGUUCUGCCUCCUGCCACAUUUCUCUCGCUCUAGUCUUCCAAAACACGACUGGGGUGGGGUUCCAAGUGUCUGCUCUCAGUGCUCAUGCCUGGCUCCAGCUUUGAUGGUGGAGGCAUCUGCUCCAAAGACGUCUCUCCGGUAAACACACGACCGGCCACGGAACCGGGUGUGCUGUGUAACUUCCAGGUCCUGUAAGUAAGAAACCUUUAUUUCAAAGUUCCCUGACGGUUGUCACUGAAGGACAUCUGCCACCAGAGCGAGAACCAGGCGGGCCCGUCCAACCACAGCACUGGUUACUGUUCCGCCGAGACCAGCCCACAACAGUGACCCGUCUGACCUGGUCUCCAAACGCCAUCACAAUCUAAGGUAAGAGAAAGGUGAGGGCUUCCGUGUUUGAGUUUGGGGAGCACGCAGUUCAGUCCGCAGCAGACUCUGUCACUUAAAAAGCUGCAAGAUCUCGGGUAAUUUAUUCACCUUCCGAGCUGCGGUUUUGUGCUCCGUGCGCUGGAAAUAGCAGCAUCGCCCCACCUCGUAGGACCGCGCAAGCCAUCGAGCCGCCCAGGCUUCCUGCCCUCUCGCCACCAUCACCGGCGCGAAGCCGUCUUCUUCGUGUUGCAAGAAGGCUGUCGCACCUCCGGGUACCGUGCCUGUGUGUCCGGCAGAAGGACAGGGGAGGGGCAGAGCGCCAGAGGCCCCCGCCUUGCCUGCCUGCCCCGCCUUGCCCGUUGCUCCCCAUUAAACCACGCAGAGGCUCUUGCCCACAUUUUCCCCUCGCCCCCCCCUCCCCCGGCCCCCUGACCGGCCCUGGUGCUUCCCCGUGUGGCCCCUCCUCCAGGGAACUGUGAAUAACAACCUUUUCAGUGGUAGUUGUCUCCCGACCUGAUGGCCUCACUGCCCUGCAUAAUAAUAGAGCCUUCCUUUUAAAACACGAGGAUGGAACAAAAACGGUGGCGUUGGGGGUGGGGUGGGGGGGUGUCGCCGAGAUCACGGCCGGCAAUUUGUUCUCAGAUCUGCUACCUGCCUCUGCUCAGCGCUGAAGGGCACGGCUUCCCCCUCAAGACGGGGUGCGUGGGGAGCGCCCGGACAGCUGUCACUCUUCCAGGGCGUGGCCCUUCAUGGCUGCUGUUCCCCCUCGUGGGCUCCUGAGCCCUACCCCGCGGCCCGGCCACCCCCCCCCCCACCCCACCAUCGUGGUCACACCGGUCCAGUGGCUGGGGUGCAGCGACUAGAGGUUUCCCCUCCCGGAGUGCAGGCUCUGUCUGAACCCAUAUUUGGGGACCCGGGAGGGGUCAAAGAGCUGCUAAGUUUAGAAUCUCAAAGCAACGUUCGCAGCCUGUGAACGCAGAUGCGUGCUGGGCUGUUUUAAUGAAAGGAAGUUUAUAUAAAAAGCUGUGGGAAAUGUAGCACUUCCUUGGAUACAAACACAGCCCAGUUACACAUUCGCUCAAGAUUUUGUCACUGUGACAAAGAGUUUCAGGAGCUGGAGGCCAAGUGGGCUGUCAAGAAGAACAGCGGUGGCCGAGUGAAAUCGGGGUGGGGGGAGGGCAGAAGCCCGUCCUCGGCAGGCCCCUGGGUCCUCAGAUUCGGAGAACCACGUAGUCAAGAAGAGUUAACUGCUUUGCUCUAUCACCUCCAGCUUUGCAGGCCGGUGGGAAAGCCGUAUAUCAACGGGGCAGGAUUAAGAAGUGUUCCUUAUACUUGCGAAACAACCAGUCAUGGUUGUUUGGGUGAUCAGGAAACAUGAUGCCAGCCCCUAGUCUGUAUCUUCAUGAUCAGGGCUGCCGUGCACCGCCGUUCAGGUUGUGCACAGCGCAAGUGCUCCUGGCCGAGAGGCACGGGGCGGGGGGCUGAGAUAGAGAACGGAGCCACGUCUACCCAGAGAGAGUGACGUUUUCUAAUUUUUCAAACCAAGCCAUGUGUCCAGGAGGUACAUCCAUCUCGAGGAAGAGUGCCGUCUGUGAUUGUCACAGAGGCAAGGUCUGGGGGCCCUGAGGUUGACCCAGCUGAGUCUCCUCCUACGUGGGCGGCUUACCGAGCCUGAGGAAGCCGGGCUGGUCUCACCUGAUGAGAGGUGGGCCGGGACUCUGAUGUUGUCAAGGCUCCUCCGCGAUUGGCAGGAUUAGUGGAUUUCAGGGAAACGGGGACCGGGAGGGACUCCAUCGUACCAGGCCCUCAUCCCUGACGUGACGAAACACCGUGGAUGCUUCUGGAGUUGGCCAGGAGACAGAUGCAGUCUGAUUUUUUUGUUUUCCUUUAUAUAGCCCCCUGCAUGGCUCCAAACUCAGGCUUCUCUGAGGGAGGCAGAAACCGCCUCUGGGCGCUUUGCUGGUAUACGUUUCCCCCGCAGAGAGUGUCCAGAUGCCAGCACCGGCCACAUGCGUGUCUCCUAGUUGCUCCUGGGCCCGUGGCCUUGCCCUUCGUUCUUACAGGUCAGCAGAAAGACCACGACCAAGGCUGUGACUUGUCUCCCAAACAGCGAUUCUUUCCUUUCUUUCAGUAAAAGAGCAGUAGUUAAUUCCGGAAGCUGGACUCCGUGCUGAGACUAAAUCGCCACAUUCCCCGCCCUUCGUUGUAGUUGGGGGGUAGCCACGUGAUCAAACCCCGGACAAAGAAAUUAAAAAGAAAGGAUGGGAGUAACACGGGGACACACGUCUUUUAAAGUGGCUUCUUCCUCCAGACACCUGGGUGGCUCGGCCGGGGUCCAGCUCAGGUCAUGAUCUCAAGGUCUGUGAAUUUGAGCCCCUCGUCGGACUCUCUG